GACGAACGCUGGCGGCGUGCUUAACACAUGCAAGUCGAACGAAGAGCGAUGGAAGCUUGCUUCUAUCAAUCUUAGUGGCGAACGGGUGAGUAACGCGUAAUCAACCUGCCCUUCAGAGGGGGACAACAGUUGGAAACGACUGCUAAUACCGCAUACGAUCUAAUCUCGGCAUCGAGGAUAGAGGAACGGUGGCCUCUACAUGUAAGCUAUCACUGAAGGAGGGUAUUGCGUCUGAUUAGCUAGUUGGAGGGGCAACGGCCCACCAAGGCGAUGAUCAGUAGCCGGUCUGAGAGGAUGAGCGGCCACAUUGGGACUGAGACCCGGCCCAGACGCCUACGGGAGGCAGCAGUGGGGAAUCUUCCGCAAUGGACGAAAGUCUGACGGAGAAACGCCGAGUGAGUGAUGACGGCCUUCGGGUUGUAAAGCUCUGUUAAUCGGGACGAAAGGCCUUCUUGCGAAUAGUGAGAAGGAUUGACGGUACCGGAAUAGAAAGCCACGGCUAACUACGUG
This 510-nucleotide ribosomal RNA is filed under the name uncultured bacterium. Its description in RNAcentral is "partial 16S ribosomal RNA". It matches the Rfam family "Bacterial small subunit ribosomal RNA", at positions 28 to 507 of the family's 1533-position model. The record is from RNAcentral.